This 253-nucleotide ribosomal RNA is filed under the name uncultured bacterium. Its description in RNAcentral is "partial 16S ribosomal RNA". It matches the Rfam family "Bacterial small subunit ribosomal RNA", at positions 524 to 776 of the family's 1533-position model. The record is from RNAcentral.
UACAGAGGGUGCGAGCGUUGUUCGGAAUUAUUGGGCGUAAAGCGCGCGUAGGCGGCCCGGUAAGUCCGUUGUGAAAGUCAAAGGCUCAACCUUUGAACGCCGAUGGAUGCUGCCGGGCUAGAGUCCGGAAGAGGCGAGUGGAAUUCCUGGUGUAGCGGUGGAAUGCGCAGAUAUCAGGAGGAACACCAAUAGCGAAGGCAGCUCGCUGGGACGGUACUGACGCUGAGGCGCGAAAGCCAGGGGAGCAAACGGG